This 500-nucleotide ribosomal RNA is filed under the name Meloidogyne incognita (southern root-knot nematode). Its description in RNAcentral is "partial large subunit ribosomal RNA". The record is from RNAcentral. Lineage: Eukaryota; Metazoa; Nematoda; Chromadorea; Rhabditida; Meloidogynidae.
AUUUUUUGUGGUGCAUUUACUUGAUUGGUGCUUGGGGAUGUUUGAGGCAGAUUUGUUUCCGCCGUUUUGAGGCCAGCUUGCUGGUACCCAAACGGUGUUAGCAUUUUUUGUCUUGGGCAUUUGAGUAUGGCUCACGGGUAUUUAUUGGACCGAUCUGAGUGUAAGUUACGGUCGCAUGCGACACGUGCUUUUCAAUUAGUUCGGUCCAGUUAAUGCUCUCGUACUCGUUCCCCAUGUAAAAGCCGGUCAUCUAUCCGACCCGUCUUGAAACACGGACCAAGGAGUUUAUCGUGUGCGCAAGUUUUUGGGUGUUAAAAACUUAAAAGCGAAAUGAAAGUAAAUGACUCUUUAGAGUCUGAUGUGCGAUCUUGUAAAAAAGUGCAGCAUGGCCCCAUUCUAACUGUUUACAGUAGGGUGGMGGAAGAGCGUACGCGGUGAGACCCGAAAGAUGGUGAACUAUUCCUGAGCAGGACGAAGCCAGAGGAAACUCUGGUGGAAGU